GUUUGAGUCAGAAACAAGUUCUUGUGUUUUGUCAUGUGAGCGGACGCACCGGAAUCCACAUACCAUGCAUCACCAUAGUCUCUGGAUGAUGCCAUGAACACAGCAGCAUAUGAAGACUUCGUAGAGUUCGUAGACUUCUGUGCAUUUGGUUUGGAUUUGCACUCGGGACUCUUGUGUCCAUACUUGUUACAUGUGUAACAUCUAGGUCCCUUAGAUUCUUUCUUGUGAAACUUCUUAAAAUUUUUGUUCACAGCAAAUGCUUCAGUAUUACUUUCGGAUUGCCUUACAUCUUGUAAUAACUUUGCUUUUAUAGCAUCGGAAGUUAUCUUCAUGCCGGAGCUUUCGAUAGCUAUGAUCAUAGGCUGAUAAGACUGAGGAAGACCGGAGAGCAGCAGUGUUCCGAGCCACUCAUCAUCCACCUUGAAGCCUAUGUUCCGGAACUUAUUAGCUGUUGAUAUUAUUUUACUCACGUACUCUUCUACGCUUUGACAUGCACUGAGUGAGGUGUUACACAGAUCACGCAGUAAGCCGACUCGACGUGUUAGCCCAGAGUCAUCGAAGACAGAAGACAGUUUGUCCCACACUUCUUUUGCAGUCCAGAGGAUAAAACCUGUUGACUGCGCCAAGAAUGACAAUAAAAAAAAGCAUCAAGUUAAUCAGUUUAGAAGCCAUGACAAUGAAACCACUCAUUCUACUAUAACCUCAGAUGGAAUAUCGACGCAGCUACAACAAUUUAAUUUUACAAACUGGCUCCUGGAAGACUGGCCUUAAUCAACGCCGAAAACGAAUAUCACAGUUAACAAGACCACAAGUUUGGGAAGGAUCUACCAACCCCAAGGCUAUCGAAGAAGAAUAGAAGAAUCUCCUACACUACCUCGAAGUUUACAAGUUUCUUAGAAAAACUCAGAGAAAUAUAAAAAAGUAGGUACAUCACCUGUAACAUCACAGAACACAAAUUUCGACUGCGCUGAAGAUGAAUUGGUUGAAGAAUUUAAAACAAGGGACCGUCAGAUAGAACCUGAUAAGAAGAAACUCUGAAAAAUAUCCGGCACCAUAUGUCUCGAAGAUCAUAAGUUUCUACUGUGCUGAAGAUAAUGUUAUGUUGCAUUGAAGAGGACAAAACCUGUAAACUGCGCCAAGAAUGAAAAAGAAGCAUCAAGUUUAUCAGUUAAGAAGCCAUGACAAUGAAACCACUCAUUCUACUAUAACCUCAGAUGGAAUAUCGACGCAGCUACAACAAUCUACUUUUACAAACUGGCUCCUGGAAGACUGGCCUUAAUCAAAGCCGAAAACGAAUAUCACAGUUAACAAGACCACAAGAUUGGAAACGAUCUACCAACCCCAAGGCUAUCGAAGAAGAAUAGAAGAAUCUACCUACACUACCUCGAAGUUUAGAAGUUUCUUAGAAAAACUCAGAAAAAUAUAAAGAAAUACAUCACCCGUAAUAUCACAAAACACAAGUUUCAACUGUGCUGAAGAUGAAUCGAUUGAAGAGUUAAAAGCAUCAAGAUCAUGAGUCUAACUCCUCGAGCACCAGAUUACACUACCGUCUGCUCGCUGGCCGUCUGCUGGACCUCCCCAGUGGGUCUCAUCCGGCAGGCUUGUGCCGCGCUGAGGACGGUGUUGUGUUGCGUCGAGGAGUACAGAGCAAACAAGGGACCGUCAGAUAGAACCUGAUAAGAAGAAACUCUGAAAAAUAUCCGGCACCAUAUCUCACGAAGAUCACAAGUUUCUACUGUGCUGAAGAUGAUGUUAUGUUGCAUUGAAGAGAAUAAAACCUGUAAACUGCGCCAAGAAAGACAAUAAAAAAUAUAGAGCACCAAGGUUAUCAGUUAAGAAGCCAUGACAAUGAAACCACUCAUUCUACUUUAACCUCAGAUGGAAUAUCGACGCAGCUACAACAAUCUACUUUCACAAACUGGCUCCUGGAAGACUGGCCUUAAUCAACGCCGAAAACGAAUAUCACAGUUAACAAGACCACAAGAUUGGGAACGAUCUACCAACCCAAAGGCUAUCGAAGAAGAAUAGAAGAAUCUCCUACUCUACCUCGAAGUUUACAAGUUUAAAAAAAAUCUCAGAGAAUUAUAAAGAAGUACGAGUAUAUCACCCAUAAUAUCACAGAACACAAGUUUCGAAAACUCAGAGAAAUAUCAAGAAGUAGGUAUAUCACCUGUAACAUCACAGAACACAAAUUUCGACUGCGCUGAAGAUGAAUUGGUUGAAGAAUUUAAAACAUCAAGAUUAUGAGUCUAACUCCUCGAGCACCAGAUUACACUACUACUACCAGAUAAAAUCAAGUUUCUACUGUAUUGAAGAUGAUGUAAUGACUCCAUAGAGCGUCUCAUUGUGCAGGGAAAAGUUGAAGGCACCAGACCACAUGGCACAUCACCGAUGAGAUGGAAAGACCAGAUCAAGGCCAUAACUAAAUGCUCAGUUAACAAAUCUAUCCGGAAAGCUGCGGUCUGUCUAGUAGUCUAGUAUUUUCCAUACGUGCAGCGAAGCAAACAAUUCAAGAGUGCAAGGAUGCAAGAACAAAGAUUGAAGACAAUUGGGAAAUGAAAACGUGAAAUGACACAGUAAAUCACAGCGAGUUUAAACUGCUUAGAUCGGAGUCAGCAAAGCACCUGACACAAUGCAGUAUAGAAAUAUUGUCGACCAUAGGUAGGACAUCUCACAAAAGGGCGAUUGAAACUGAAAAGGAGCAAACUAAAGUCGUUGAAGACUUGCCAAGAAGAUUUACUGACGUCACUACGUACAACAGAUGUAAAAGGUUUAAGACACUACUAGCUGACUAUCUUCAUAAUAUGCUUCAAUGCCCACUCUUUCCUAUGAGUGAGGUCACUACAAGUCACUGGAGAACCAUCCAUCGCCCACAAAAGGGCGAUUGAAACUGAAAAGAAACCUUGGGAGCAAGCUAAGGUCGUUGAAGACUGGCCAAGAAGAUUCAGUGACGUCACUACGUACAACACAUGGAAAAGACUUAAGACACUACGAGCUGAAUAUCUUCUAUAAUAUGCUCCAAUGUCCACUCUUUCCUAUGAGUGGGGUUUUUCUGUAUUCUGAGGAGUAAGGUCACUACAACUCACUGGAGACCAUCCAUCGCCCACAAAAGGGCGAUUGAAACUGAAAAGAAACCUUGGGAGCAAGCUAAAGUCGUUGAAGACUGGCCAAGAAGAUUCAGUGACGUCACUCCGUACAACAGAUGGAAAAGUUUUAAGAAACUAUGCUGAAUCUUGUCUUCAUAAUAUGCUCCAAUGCCCACUCUUUCCUCUGAGUGAGGUUUUUCUGUAUUCUGAGGAGUGAGGUCACUACAACUCACUGGAGAACCAUCCAUCGCCCACAAAAGGGCGAUUGAAACUGAAAAGAAACCUUGGGAGCAAGCUAAAGUCGUUGAAGACUGGCCAAGAAGAUUCAGUGACGUCACUCCGUACAACAGAUGGAAAAGUUUUAAGAAACUAUGCUGAAUCUUGUCUCCAUAAUAUGCUCCAAUGCCCACUCUUUCCUAUGAGUGAGGUUUUUCUGUAUUCUGAGGAGUGAGGUCACUACAACUCACUGGAGAACCAUCCAUCGCCCACAAAAGGGCGAUUGAAACUGAAAAGAAACCUUGGGAGCAAGCUAAGGUCGUUGAAGACUGGCCAAGAAGAUUCAGUGACGUCACUACGUACAACAGAUGAAAAAGGCUUAAGACACUAUGAGCUGAAUAUCUUCUAUAAUAUGUUCCAAUGUCCACUCUUUCCUAUAAGUGAGGUUUUUCUGUAUUCUGAUGAGUGAGGUCACUACAACUCACUGGAGACCAUCCAUCGCCCACAAAAGGGCGAUUGAAACUGAAAAGAAACCUUGGGAGCAAGCUAAAGUCGUUGAAGACUGGCCAAGAAGAUUCAGUGACGUCACUACGUACAACAGAUGAAAAAGGCUUAAGACACUACGAGCUGAAUAUCUUCUAUAAUAUGUUCCAAUGUCCACUCUUUCCUAUAAGUGAGGUUUUUCUGUAUUCUGAUGAGUGAGGUCACUACAACUCACUGGAGACCAUCCAUCGCCCACAAAAGGGCGAUUGAAACUGAAAAGAAACCUUGGGAGCAAGCUAAAGUCGUUGAAGACUGGCCAAGAAGAUUCAGUGACGUCACUACGUACAACAGAUGAAAAAGGCUUAAGACACUACGAGCUGAAUAUCUUCUAUAAUAUGUUCCAAUGUCCACUCUUUCCUAUAAGUGAGGUUUUUCUGUAUUCUGAUGAGUGAGGUCACUACAACUCACUGGAGACCAUCCAUCGCCCACAAAAGGGCGAUUGAAACUGAAAAGAAACCUUGGGAGCAAGCUAAAGUCGUUGAAGACUGGCCAAGAAGAUUCAGUGACGUCACUACGUACAACAGAUGAAAAAGGCUUAAGACACUACGAGCUGAAUAUCUUCUAUAAUAUGUUCCAAUGUCCACUCUUUCCUAUAAGUGAGGUUUUUCUGUAUUCUGAUGAGUGAGGUCACUACAACUCACUGGAGACCAUCCAUCGCCCACAAAAGGGCGAUUGAAACUGAAAAGAAACCUUGGGAGCAAGCUAAAGUCGUUGAAGACUGGCCAAGAAGAUUCAGUGACGUCACUACGUACAACAGAUGAAAAAGGCUUAAGACACUACGAGCUGAAUAUCUUCUAUAAUAUGUUCCAAUGUCCACUCUUUCCUAUAAGUGAGGUUUUUCUGUAUUCUGAUGAGUGAGGUCACUACAACUCACUGGAGACCAUCCAUCGCCCACAAAAGGGCGAUUGAAACUGAAAAGAAACCUUGGGAGCAAGCUAAAGUCGUUGAAGACUGGCCAAGAAGAUUCAGUGACGUCACUACGUACAACAGAUGAAAAAGGCUUAAGACACUACAAGCUGAAUAUCUUCUAUAAUAUGCUCCAAUGUCCACUCUUUCCUAUGAGUGAGGUUUUUCUGUAUUCUGAGGAGUGAGGUCACUACAACUCACUGGAGACCAUCCAUCGCCCACAAAAGGGCGAUUGAAACUGAAAAGAAACCUUGGGAGCAAGCUAAAGUCGUUGAGGACUUGCCAAGAAGAUUCAGUGACACAAUAGACGUCACUAUUAUAACUUCAACCUACCAAAGUCACAGAUCUUCAGUGCGCAAGUCUGCCUAUAUCAAAUGUUAGCAAAGUACGACUCAUUUACUUUUAUCCUGAAGAGCGAAGGAAACAAUGCAAGGGUGCAACAAAAAGUACAGAGCAUCAAGAUUAUUAGUCAAGAAGCCAUGAUAAUGGAACCACUCAUCCCACUGUAACAGAUGGAAGAUCGACACAGCUGCAACAACCUACUUUAACAAACUGGUCUUAAUCGGCGCCGAAAGGGAACAGCACAGUUACCACAAGAUUGGGAAGGAUUUAUCUACCAACCCAAAGGCCACUAUCGAAGAAGAAUAGAAGAAUCUCCCACACUACCUCGAAGUUUACAAGUUAAAAAAAAUCUCAGAGAAUUACAAAGAAGUAUAUCACCCAUAAUAUCACAGAACACAAGUUUCGACUGCGCUGAAGAUGAACUGGGUGAAGAGUUUAAAGCAUCAAGAUUAUGAGUCUAACUCCUCGAGGACCAGAUUACACUACUACUAAUAGAUAGAAUCAAGUUUCUACUGUAUUGAAGAUGAUGUAAUGACUCCAUAGAGCGUCUCAUUGUGCAGGGAAAAGUUGAAGGCACCCGACCACAUGGCACAUCACCGAUGAGAUGGACAGACCAGAUCAAGGCCAUAACUAAAUGCUCAGUUAGCAAAUGUAUCCGGAAAGCUGCGGUCUGUCUAGUAGUCUAGUAUUUUCCAUACGUGCAGCGAAGCAAACAAUUCAAGAGUGCAAGGAUGCAAGAACAAAGAUUGAAGACAAUUGGGAAAUGAAAACGUGAAAUGACACAGUAAAUCACAGCGAGUUUAAACUGCUUAAAUCGGAGUCAGCAAAGCACCUGACACAAUGCAGUAAAGAAAUAUUGUCGACCAUAGGACAUCCCACAAAAGGGCGAUUGAAACUGAAAAGGAGCAAACUAAAGUCGUUGAAGACUUGCCAAGAAGAUUCACUGACGUCACUACGUACAACAGAAGUAAAAGGUUUAAGACACUACUAGCUGACUAUCUUCAUAAUAUGCUUCAAUGCCCACUCUUUCCUAUGAGUGAGGUCACUACAAGUCACUGGAGAACCAUCCAUCGCCCACAAAAGGGCGAUUGAAACUGAAAAGAAACCUUGGGAGCAAGCUAAGGUCGUUGAAGACUGGCCAAGAAGAUUCAGUGACGUCACUACGUACAACACAUGGAAAAGACUUAAGACACUACGAGCUGAAUAUCUUCUAUAAUAUGCUCCAAUGUCCACUCUUUCCUAUGAGUGAGGUUUUUCUGUAUUCUGAGGAGUGAGGUCACUACAACUCACUGGAGACCAUCCAUCGCCCACAAAAGGGCGAUUGAAACUGAAAAGAAACCUUGGGAGCAAGCUAAGGUCGUUGAAGACUGGCCAAGAAGAUUCAGUGACGUCACUACGUGCAACAGAUGGAAAAGUUUUAAGAAACUAUGCUGAAUCUUAUUUUCAUAAUAUGCUCCAAUGCCCACUCUUUCCUAUGAGUGAGGUUUUUCUGUAUUCGGAGGAGUGAGGUCACUACAACUCACUGGAGACCAUCCAUCGCCCACAAAAGGGCGAUUGAAACUAAAAGGAAACCUUGGGAGCAAGCUAAAGUCGUUGAAGACUGGCCAAGAAGAUUCAGUGACGUCACUCCGUACAACAGAUGGAAAAGUUUUAAGAAACUAUGCUGAUUCUUAUUUUCAUAAUAUGCUCCAAUGCCCACUCUUUCCUAUGAGUGAGGUUUUUCUGUAUUCUGAGGAGUGAGGUCACAACAACUCACUGGAGAACCAUCCAUCGCCCACGAAAGGGCGAUUGAAACUGAAAAGAAACCUUGGGAGCAAGCUAAAGUCGUUGAAGACUGGCCAAGAAGAUUCAGUGACGUCACUCCGUACAACAGAUGGAAAAGUUUUAAGAAACUAUGCUAAAUCUUAUUUUCAUAAUAUGCUCCAAUGCCCACUCUUUCCUAUGAGUGAGGUUUUUCUGUAUUCUGAGGAGUGAGGUCACUACAACUCACUGGAGAACCAUCCAUCGCCCACAAAAGGGCGAUUGAAACUGAAAAGAAACCUUGGGAGCGAGCUAAAGUCGUUGAAGACUGGCCAAGAAGAUUCAGUGACACAAUAGACGUCCCUGUUAUAACUUCAGUGCGCAAGACAUUUAAUGUAAGCAAAGUACGACUCAACUUUUAUCCUGAAGAGUGAAGCAAACAAUGCAAGUGUGCAAGAACAAAACUUGAAGACAAUUGCCACCAAGAAAUCGAAGUGGAUCACCAUAAUAGAAGAAAGUUGCUACAGAAACGAGCUAACUCAAGAAUCUUGGACACCUCUUUUCUCUUCCAUUCCUUGAGAGGUGCCCUGAAUCACGAAGACGAGCCAGACAAAGCAGCCAAUCCACGAGGACAGCAACAGCCGCAACGACAGCAUCAUUAUGAGGUCAUUUUUACUACGACGGGCAUGCAGCGGCUGAGGCGUAUUACAUGCAAAAUUCAGAGAUGAGACUAUCUACCCACAAGAGUUGACAAGUGUCGUUAAUUCAGUCACGCACUACAUAUUGUGCGCUGAAUAUCUUCAUAAUACUCUUUCAACUGAGUAAGGUCACUACAACUCACCGGAUAACCAUCUGUCGCCGACAAAAGGUCUGAUACAAAGCAAGGUGGGAAAUGGCACAGUAAAUCACAGCGAGCUUAAACUGCCUAGAUCGUGGUCAGCAAAGCACCUGACACAAUGCAGUAAAGAAAUAUUGUCGACCAUAGGACAUCCCAUAAAAGGGCGAUUAAAACUGAAAAAGAACAAGCUAAAGUCAUUGAAGACUUGCCCAGAAGAUUCAGUGACGUCACCACCUACAACAGAUGGAAAAGGUUUAAGACACUACUAGCUGAAUAUCUUCAUAAUAUACUUCAAUGCCCACUCUUUCCUAUGAGUGAGGUCACUACAGCUCACUGGAGAACCAUCCAUCGCCCACAAAAGGGCGAUUGAAACUGAAAAGGAGCAAGCUAAAGUCAUUGAAGACUUGCCCAGAAGAAUCAGUGACGUCACCACCUACAACAGAUGGAAAAGGUUUAUGACACAACACGCUGAUUAUAUCUUCACAAUAUGCUUCAAUGUCCACUCUUUCCUAUGAGUAAGGUCACUACAACUCACUGGAGAACCAUCCAUCGCCCACAAAAGGGCGAUUGGAACUACGCUAUGUCCUAUGGCUGAAAUGAUGAUGAUAUUGAUAAAGAAACAAGGGUAGAGGCGUAGAGGAUUCAUUGUGCUGAACUGCCUUUAGCAUGGGUCAACCUGAGGGUUCAAGUACAAGACGUCAUCAACACACACAUCAUCUGGAAGUAUUUUCGACCACGAAACAUUGACUGCUGACAACGAUUUGUCAUCAACAACACCAAGAAGCAUUUCAUAAUUAUAAACCGACAUGCAGAAAUUAUGGAAGAUGGUGAUAUUACUGAGAAGAUAGAAAUCAAAAUUGGUUAAUGAUGAAGAAAAAGGUCAACCUAGUAAAUCUAUAUUUUUCUAGCAUGCUUCACGUCAUGUUAUAAGACAAGAAAUGCAACUCAUUUUGUGAAGUACUAAUUAAUGCAUUUUAAUACUUUGCCAUUCAAAAGUGUCAUUAAUAUCAGAAAGGGCUUAUUAUGUAUUGACACAUAAUAGUGACUGAGUUUCUAUUCCGCUUCUUCUUCUCAACACUAUUCCAUUUAUUGUCCCGAAGUAGAAGUAGGUGUUGUAGUUUUGUGAAUCUCUGAUACCUAGGUACUAUUUGUUAUCUCGAAGUAGUGAUAGGGCAAGCUAUAUUUGUAACGUUUAUUUGAAUUUACGUACCUUUACUCAAUGUAUGUGUACUCUACAAUCAAUAGUUUGUAGUUUCGUCUUUAGUUUAUAUAAAGCAUAACAAUAACAGAUCAAAUGGAUAUUCAUCUUAUUAAUACUUUAAAAUAGCCUUUAAAUUACAUCAGCCCAAAAUUAUGAAA
Molecule: long non-coding RNA, 9030 nt
Organism: Ostrinia furnacalis (Asian corn borer)
Lineage: Eukaryota; Metazoa; Arthropoda; Insecta; Lepidoptera; Crambidae
Exons: 3
Source: RefSeq, a predicted model, not a curated record